This 272-nucleotide ribosomal RNA is filed under the name Bicosoecida sp. CB-2014. RNAcentral's name for it is "partial Bacterial large subunit ribosomal RNA". It matches the Rfam family "Bacterial large subunit ribosomal RNA", at positions 2621 to 2905 of the family's 2925-position model. The record is from RNAcentral. Lineage: Eukaryota; Bigyra; Bicosoecida.
GUGAGACAGUUCGGUCCCUAUCUGCCGUGGGUGUAGGAUACUUGAGAGGAGUUGCCCCUAGUACGAGAGGACCGGGGUGAACGAUCCACUGGUGUACCAGUUGUUCCGCCAGGAGCAGUGCUGGGUAGCUAUGAUCGGACAGGAUAACCGCUGAAGGCAUCUAAGCGGGAAGCCCCCCUCAAAACAAGGUAUCCCUGAGGACCGUGGUAGACCACCACGUCGAUAGGCCAGAGAUGUAAGCGCGGUAACGCGUUCAGUUGACUGGUACUAAU